GCCAUUUCCGCAUGAACGACACUUUGCUCAAUCUGGUCCGUGUGCUACACACCCAAUCUCGCUCGCACACCAGGCACCGCACAACCCUAGCUCCCACUUUCCCCUCGAUCCACUGCCCCUCCCUCCUCCCCGCUUGUCACCAGGGCCUCGGCAUCGCCUACUCCUCCUCCACCACCAUUGCUUAUUCCCCACCUCAACUUCCCUCUCUACGUUGUUUAUCCGGUCAUCGGCGGUGCCUGGAUCCAGAUUUGGCGCAAGUAAGGCCUGGUGGUGGGGCGAAGGGGCACUGGAGGUAGGCGGACAUGACAAGCAGCUGUCGGCCCGUCGCGGGUGAGGCUCCAAGAGGGAAGAGGCGGGGACGGGAGGCUCAAUGGAAGAGGGAAGAUGGAUGAGGCGGGGACAGGUGAAGCAGCAGGCUGGUCCUCGUGGAGGCGGCGCUGCCGGCCAGGGGCCAUUCGCGGUUUUUAUCUGCUGCCUUCUUACUCCGGGGCAUGCCAAGGAAGAACUCACGCACACCAGCCAAGGAGGAGCCAUGAUGUGUGUGAGGUAGAGGUGGAUCAUUGGAGGUGAAGCAGGUCUCCUGGAUGCGUGCUUCAUCUGAGUUUCACGGGGUACUUAAGCAAUGGUUGCCCCCGCCACAUCACAUACCAUGUGAGAUCAACGAGGACAAUGAUAGUUGAGUUCUGACGAGAGUUAAACAAAUAGUUCACUAACAUUGAUAAUGAUUGGGUAAUUCCAUUCUAUGCUCAGAUUAUAAGAAAGAGGAAUUUUGUAAGUCAGACAUCGAUUGCUCACCUUUGAAGGUUACAAAUUCAAGUGCUAGGCUUUAAGGAUGAAGCAAAUCCCAAUCUAGAAACAUGUGUCGUGCACCAUAUAUUUGUCACCAGAAACGAAUGUGCAGGCGACAGCCAUUUGAUUAGUGUUAUAUCCAACUAAGGUAUCCUUCCACCAAAUGACCACAUCUGAAUUUGUUUAACUACAAUCCGAUGCAACAGAGUUAUGUAUUGUUCUCAUAGUCCAUCCGUUAUAUUUUUGGCUUUCAAGGCUAGCUGACUUCAGUUUGAUUAUAAAUUCAUCUACAGCAGCACAGACAGGUAAAAAUGUUUUUUUCUUGUUUUAUAGUUUUAUGUCAAAGUUUUCUUUUACCUUAACUUUUCAAUUGUACUCUGCUUUGUAGGUUCUGAUCAUACCGAUUUAGUGAUUUACUACAGUUUGAUUGCCGAUUCAUAUUUUAUUCUUUUAUAUUAUGCAGCUUUCUCUGUGUACUGUUGGGAUAAAUUCCAUGAACUAUGUAUCUUGUUUAAAUGGCUAGGAUUUGAGAUUGUUUGAAUCCAUCAUGACACAAUAUUCUGACCAUCAACUAGGGUGCUCAAUGCACAAUAGAUAGCUUUUGGUUGUCACCAUUAGGACACUUUGAGGUUUUUAAUAGCUGAAAUAUGCCAACUGCAGAUCAACAUGGUAGUUACAAUGGUUCCAUGUCCUAAUUAGUUAUUUUAUUUUGUUUUGCAGGCGUAUUAUCUUGGAGGUUCUUUCUUAUUUUUACUAUAGAUCAAGUUUCUUUGUUUCCUUUCUAGCUACCUCUGCUGCAUUUGUUUUAUAUAUCCUAUAUGCUUUAAAUAUCCUAUAUGCUAUCAUGAUCCUUGCUUCAGUGAUCAUGUUGAUUCUCCAGAUUUGGUCGGGUGUUGUGUUUUUUUCGUCCUUGUGCGCUUUGAUUGAUGUGCUCUGGCUCUGUGACUGUGAUGAUGCACAGGCAAUGGCAGCAUGGGUGGCAUGAGAGGAAGGAUGGGAAUCAGCUACUUGCAUUCGCACGGAGGAGGCAACAUCGAUGCGAUGGCACGACAGAGGAGGUUGGGCUCGUUGUGGAGCUUCUUGAGGCAGCAGGACGUCGGCGAGAGCAUCGCUGCCGGCAACGGCUCGAGAGACCUCUUGAGGAUCUUCUCCAUGAGCACCUGGGACGACACCAACUCCAACAUCAUGUUCUCAGCGCCCGACAGCAAGAAGGCCGAGGUGCUCGGCGACAGCAAUGUCUGCAUGGUCACCAGCUUCAGCAACAUCGACGCCCAGAUUUAGUUAGCCCUCUCGAGUUGGACAUGCCCAGCAUGGACGACUACCUGCAGCUGUAGUAGGACUCCGCCGACUGCAGAGUCCACGCCAAGCGUGGCUGCACAACUGACCCAUAGAACAUCGCUUGGGAGGGAAAGAAGAACAAGGAUCAAUAAGAGGCUAAGGAGGCUGCAAGACCUCAUUCCCUACAUGGACAAGGUCACAAGGAUAUUCUGUGUCCCAAGCCCUAUAGAAUAAUGUCCAGUCUAAUUUCAGCAGUGGGCAUGACAGCCUCAUACUUCUCUCUUCAAUAUUGAAGAAGCGGCUUACUCGGAUCAAUGGGCAUGCACUUAGAAAAAUAGCUAAAGUGUACGAGAUAUUCCUAGAGUAAAUAAAGGGCAUGGUGUGCUCAUAAGUUAGACAGAAGCAAAAUGUUAUUUAUUAUGCUCCUGUUGUAUCCUCAGACAUUUUCUUCCACCUACCAAUACCUCAGUAUUGAAUAUCUACUUUCCCAUCGUCGUAAACUGAUGUUAGUAUUUGUGCA
Triticum aestivum (bread wheat) is the source of this 2587-nucleotide long non-coding RNA. RefSeq lists it as uncharacterized. The record is from RefSeq and is a predicted model, not a curated record. Lineage: Eukaryota; Viridiplantae; Streptophyta; Magnoliopsida; Poales; Poaceae. The transcript is spliced from 8 exons.